Molecule: ribosomal RNA, 240 nt
Filed under: Triticum aestivum (bread wheat)
Lineage: Eukaryota; Viridiplantae; Streptophyta; Magnoliopsida; Poales; Poaceae
Description: partial small subunit ribosomal RNA
Source: RNAcentral
AUGACCUAUGUUGUGUUGAAGGGAUAUCUAUAUGAUCCGAUCGAUUGCAUAAGACCCGCGGUAGCAAUAGAACGGGGAAAGUAUACAGAAAAGACAGUUCUUUUCAAUUUCGAUUAUCUAUAUAUUAGUUCAUUUCUAUUUCUAGAUAUCUAUUUCUAUAUAUUAGUAUUAGUUAGUAGUACUAUUAGUUACCACGACAAGUUCAAGGGGUUGACUACGAUGAGACUUUCUCACCCGUAG